UAUGUUUUCGGAAAGGAAAUAGCCAAUGCUUUUGUAAGGUUAACAUUUUAUUUUUCACGCUUAUCGUCAUCUUCUAUAUGCAUCGUCAUCUAUAGUUCAUCGUCCUUAGCCAUCUAGAACCGUCCCAUUAAUGGGUUUCAGUAGGUUGUGCUAGAUGUAUCUUCCUAAUGAAUCUCUGGAUCGAGCUUCAUUCGCGCCGGUUCGUCUUAGAUUCGUCUCCUCCAAAACGUUACGGAUUCAUCAAUUUAUUGCCAUUAAGAAGCAUCUUUACUCCUUUGACCACCAACAAGCACCAAUCAAACAUUCAAUGCUUCUAAUUCCUCAUUCAGGCGGUGUUUAUCCCCCCCAUAAAAAGAUCCAUCAAGAUCCAAACUUUCCAUAUUCAUCGACACAUCCUAUUGCUUCCCAUAAAGUUUAGGAUGAGAGUGCUUUCAGAGUUUUGGUGAGCUUUUACAAGUGGUGAUCAUGAGAGAUCGAGUCACUGGCUGUGAUCAUGGCUUUGGUUUCUUUUUCUUCGUUGGUCCCAGUGUUCCUGUGAGAGCCAUAUUGCUCUAUGUUAAAUUGACUGACGGGUUAUCGGAUUUGAGUCGAGCGGUUGGAUCUCAUCGUCUCGAUAGACGAAGAUUCACAUUCUGGAUCAUAACGCUGCUGCAAAGAAAUGAUAAGAAACGAUGCUAUGCUUAGUUAAGACGCAAAGAGAUCUGUAUAUGGUAUGAAAAUCGAGAAUUGAUGCAAGUGAUGCUGAUAAGAAGAUGGACAUGUCAGUUCAACAGGGGGUUCAAAGGUCCAGUGUCCCUGUUAAAAUUUCUCCGACACUGUUCCAUCUCUUCUUUCUUUCUACAUCUCCAUCGACGGUUCCGACUAUGUGCUUUCUCCUCUUAAGAUAUAUUCUCAUGUACAGAUGGGCCCUUCGUAUAUGCCGGGCUUGGUGGAAGAAAAUAGUUUGGAUACUCAGGUUGUACCAGUCCCUGGCUCUGAGUUAAUCAUGGCACCUUCUCAGUGGAGCAGUAAAUAUUGUUGGUAACUUGACAGACUUUUAAAAAAUGUCGCUUUCUCUUCUGCCUGAGCGUGAUGACGGAGGACACUACCCUCCAAAACUUCACUUGGACGUUGACAGGACAGCCAUAAUAAGCACUGAUGUAAGUGUCUCACCCUUCCACCACAUCGUUAUAAACUCGACUUUGAAGUCCUGUUAUUCCCAAAAGAAGUCUCAUUUGGGUCUGCAGUCGUUUUUAACAAGUGCUCGAGGGUCUAUGAUGUGAUGUUAGAACCUAGGCUUGCAGUUUGAUUAGUUUUUUUUUGGGUUCUUUUAGCCAUUGAUAGGUUUGGAUUGAGAUUAAUUUUAAUUAGAUAAGAGUUUUUAAAAUGCAGCUGGAAAAUACAGUUUAUGCAUUGCAUAUCACAGAAACUUAUGAUGAUUUCGCGGCAGAAUGAUUCUUGCACGAAGCCAUAAAUGUUACUGCAAAACAUUAUGUUCUCGAGUGCAUUUUUAUGAGAGAAGUGAGUCGUUUUCUGUUCCUCUUUGGCUGAAUUCUCAUGCCUCCUAAUGGAGUGUGGUUGCUAUGGAAAUGCAAGCUAAAGCUAAAGUUAAAAUAGUGCCCAUAAGGGAAAAUUGCAUUGCUUAACUUUGCAAAAUUUAUGUUUCUUGAUUGAACAGUUUGCUUGAUGCCGCUCAAGAAUACAUAACAAAACAUGCUUAUUCUGUGUAUCAAAAUCUGUUUUCUAACCCAUUUCAACAUCGUUAUAGAAAGAAAAGUUAUGGUUUUUUAUCUUUAUAUUUGAGAUUCAAAAUAGACUUCACUACAAUGUCUUUUUCCUCUCUUUUUUUUUUAAAAAAAUUUCUUUUAUGUUCCUAGCUUAAUUGGGUUGUUGAUGUUUAUAAUAUAUAAAAUGCCAUCUGCUUAAGAGUUUAUACAAAAUUUUCCUUAAGAGAUUCGAAGUUUUGAUCUGGUCCUCUGCUUGAAUGUUAGUCUCCUCAUUUUUGGUCUUUAUAAAUAUGUAAUAGUUCUGAAAAAGAAAUAAAUUCUUUAAGCUUAUAGUAUGUUGAUUGAGUUUUCAUGAUUCUGUUACAUAUACACAUCUUUUUUGUAUACUCUUUGUUAUAGAUGGUUCUGUUAUAUAUUCACACUCUUUUUGUA
This is a long non-coding RNA of Brassica napus (rape), 2138 nucleotides long. RefSeq lists it as uncharacterized. NCBI's taxonomy places the organism in Eukaryota, Viridiplantae, Streptophyta, Magnoliopsida, Brassicales, Brassicaceae. The record is from RefSeq and is a predicted model, not a curated record. The transcript is spliced from 7 exons.